UCUCUCAAAAAUAAAUAAACAUUUAAAAAAGGUUUUUUUCAAAGUCCGUCAUGACCAGAGCUGAAGGGGAGAGAGGACUUUGUUCAGUGAACAUAGUUGGCACAAAAGUGAGUUUAUCAGUGGAUCUCCUCCUACUUAAUAACUACAUUUUGGGGGAGGAGAGUUAGCAGAUUGAGAUGCAAGUCUACGGUCGAAUCAUGGUGGAAUUGCGACCACAGCGGGACUACGGAUACAAGGUUCAGCAAAAAAUAGCUGUGGAACCUGCAGGCAAGACCGUUGUGUAUUUUAUUACUAGCUAUAAAUUGUGUAUUGUAAAUGUGCAUUACAUCAGCAAAAUCUACAACAUCCCUAUGGAUGUAUAUACUUGCAUUUACCUUUUUUUUGUUUGUUUUUUUGAGAGCUGGUUGUUAAGUAUUUACCUGCCUACACCACCUCCAGCUUUAGGAUUCUGUGAUUACACUUGAUUUUGUGCUAUUCUCUCAACAGAAACCAGACCGCUUUCCUCGGUCCACAUUCUGUAUAGGGGGGAAAAGACAUGGUGAAGACACCGUUUGCCUCCUUUCCUGAGGCCCCAAGCUCGGGGCUGGAGAGCGUGUACCUACCUGGAGCUCAGUGUGUCAUUGAUGACUAAGUCGAGGAGUAGGCCUAGCACUGAGGAGAUGAACCUUCUUUUCUGCUGAACCGUCUUUCUGUUCAAUGGCCAGAAGACUCUGGCAUUUUCCUGACUCAGGAAUUGGCAACACUUGUGACUCAGCAAGCCAAGCCCUCAUUUAUUUACUCUAAGGUAGCAUGUGCCAGGAAUACAUUCUAACCUUUAGAAGUUCUGUUAAUCCAGGUUCUGGCCAAAGCCACUACGUAGAAGAAUUCUCUUAUUAAGAUAAAACUCACUGAAACGUAAGAUCCAACAUAUGAACUGUCUUUAAACUUCUGACACGGACUAGAUACUUGUUUUUUUGUUCCUCAUCUGAGGGAGAUUUUCUUCUUGCCUUAUGUGACUGGAGCAGUGGGGCACAUUCCUUGCAUCAGUGCCCCAGGUCAUUGUUUCGGGGCCCCCAAGAAGCUGCGUUGGUCACCCAAGGGCCAGGGCGAGUGGGGUUGCUGCCAGGGGCGUUGCUGAGCACGUAUCAGAGAUUAGCAGGUGUCAGCCUGUGAGAUGUGUCUUUUAGUUGGUGAAUCACCCAGAAUUCAUCAAGGUAAAUGAGAGAUGAUACUUAUACUUACCUAAAGAGUAAAGAGAUUUAUUGAACAGCGGUUAGAUUGGCCAAAGACCCCUUAGGGAAGGUUCUAGAACUAGGUUUGGAAAGCAGGCAUAAAUAAGAGAUGAGGCGUCCGCUGGGACCACAACCCUAAUCACACUCCAAUCAUACUCCCUAAUCAUACUUCUUGCUGGGUAACCAAAAAAGAAAAAUGUCUAUGAUGCUUGGCCACACGCUCUGCCGAUAUAUAUGCUCUUAGCAUGUCACCCGGGAUGUACCAAGGUACACAGGAACUUUCUGGUUGUCCUUGAUCCAUGGAACCAUGACGCAUUGUACCUCCUCUUCUCUAAGCAGGAUACCCUUGGACCCCUUCUUUACUGUAGGCCCCGGGAUGAAUCUGGAAGAGAUGCUGGUUCAGUCUUGCUGCCGUUGCAUGCUCUGUUGGCUGUCCUCAGGACAGCAGCCCAGGCUCCUCCAGGGUGUUCUGGGUCAUGAUGCUUCUCCUGGCCAAUGGUGCAGAUCUCCCCCUUUUCAGCCCAUAGCUGGUCUGUAGUCCCAUGAAGCAAAAGGGUGUAAGGAACAAGGCGCCUGGGCCCUUACUCCUUCUUCCUGGGGUCUCUGCUGCCACAGCACAAAUCCUUUCAAAACUCUGACCCAUGUUGCCUUGUGUAUCACAAAGGGGUCAAUCCCUUGUUUGGGGUUUCAUUUUGAAAAGUGCCUAGUCAUUGCUUUUGGUUAGAUAACUAUCAAAUAACAUACUACGUUUUUUUGGCACUAUAGUUUUCAAACAUUUCCACAAUGAGGAGCUCAUUGUCUUAGCCCCCCUUUGAAAUAGCCAGGGCCAUUUUUAUCCCCGUCAUGGAGUUGAGCCACCGAGGCCCAAAGGGCCUGAGGUCACACAGCUGCUAAGGGGUAGGGUUGGCCUUGGUUCUAGUUUACCUUACCCCUCACUUGGUGCUCCAUGGACUGUUGUGCGGCUUCUAAUGACAAUGACAUGUGCUGCUAUUAUGAUGCACUCACCCAAGAUCCGGCAUCGUUGCUGGCAGUCAUGCUCCCUGUGAAGUUUGCAGACCCUUGUCUGAGCUCUGUCUGGGCCCCAGGCCAGGCUGUGUGAGCCAGGUGUCCUCUAAGGAGGUGAGGUACUCUCACUAAGAAUGGUCUCUGCCUGCCACUCUCACUCACUCCUGCUUGGGAAUUUUCUCCUCCCUGCUCGUCCUGGAUCUCUCAGAGGCAAGGCAGAAGCAGCUGAUGAAGUGGCCACAGUCCCCUAAGAGGAGGCCAAUGGGUGGAAUUCACAACAACCCCAGCCCUGAGGUUUGGAAGACAAACGACUUCUGUUUCAGACGAAUGGGAGUGUCAAGUUAUUCCAGCCCGAUGAGAUUACAGCUCAGAGGAUCACGAGGAAUCAAUUCCUCCAGAAGAGGAAAAAAACAGCUGGCACAGGAGCUCUGCAGGGCCUUUUGCUAAAGUGCUACAGGAUUACCUGGUUGUGUCUGUGGUUUCCAGCAUGCAGCUUUCAACUUUGACCAUCAAGAAUCAAAUGGAACAAAUGGCAAAUGGUUUCAGAUGCAAUUCUCUUGAAUUCCAGGGGGCUGUGUAGUGACAUAGAAGUAUGAUGGAUUUUGUGUUAAUAGAUCUUGGGCAUCCA
Molecule: long non-coding RNA, 2844 nt
Organism: Felis catus (domestic cat)
Lineage: Eukaryota; Metazoa; Chordata; Mammalia; Carnivora; Felidae
Exons: 2
Source: RefSeq, a predicted model, not a curated record